Molecule: ribosomal RNA, 263 nt
Filed under: uncultured bacterium
Lineage: Bacteria
Description: partial 16S ribosomal RNA
Rfam family: Bacterial small subunit ribosomal RNA
Source: RNAcentral
GUCCACGCCCUAAACGAUGGCAACUAGUUGUUGGGGGAAACCCCUUAGUAACGAAGCUAACGCGUGAAGUUGCCCGCCUGGGGGAGUACGGUCGCAAGAUUAAAACUCAAAGGAAUUGACGGGGGCCCGCACAAGCGGUGGAUGAUGUGGUUUAAUUCGAUGCAACGCGAAAACCUUACCUACCCUUGACAUGCCAGGAAGCCAGCUGAGAGGUUGGCGUGCCCGAAAGGGAGCCUGGGGCACAGGUGCUGCAUGGCUGUCGU